AUCUGGUCGUCUGUCGAGGUCUCCCCCCGCUCCCACCGGACGCCACUUCCCCGGCGUCCGGCGGACUGAGCGGGGCGGGACCUGGGCGUACGACCUGACCGGC
Molecule: non-coding RNA, 103 nt
Organism: Frankia sp.
Lineage: Bacteria; Bacillati; Actinomycetota; Actinomycetes; Frankiales; Frankiaceae
Source: Rfam